This 510-nucleotide ribosomal RNA is filed under the name uncultured bacterium. RNAcentral describes it as "bacterial SSU rRNA". It matches the Rfam family "Bacterial small subunit ribosomal RNA", at positions 46 to 563 of the family's 1533-position model. The record is from RNAcentral.
GCCUAAUGCAUGCAAGUCGAGCGACGCAUACCGGAGGGGUAACCCACUGGUAUGACGGAGCGGCGAACGGGUGAGUAACACGUGAGUAACCUGCCCCACAGACCGGGACAGCCCAGGGAAACCUGGAUUAAUACCGGAUACCCUCGAAGGAUCGCAUGAUCUUUCGAGGAAAUGCCUUUGUGCUGUGGGAUGGGCUCGCGACUUAUCAGCUAGUUGGUGGGGUAACGGCCUACCAAGGCGUCGACGAGUAGCUGGUCUGAGAGGACGAUCAGCCACACUGGGACUGAGACACGGCCCAGACUCCUACGGGAGGCAGCAGCAGGGAAUCUUGCGCAAUGGGCGAAAGCCUGACGCAGCAACGCCGCGUGGGGGAUGAAGGCCUUCGGGUUGUAAACCCCUUUCAGGAGGGAAGAAAUUGACGGUACCUCCAAAAGAAGCACCGGCCAACUACGUGCCAGCAGCCGCGGUAAUACGUAGGGUGCGAGCGUUAUCCGGAAUCAUUGGGCGUAA